This 443-nucleotide ribosomal RNA is filed under the name uncultured bacterium. RNAcentral describes it as "partial 16S ribosomal RNA". It matches the Rfam family "Bacterial small subunit ribosomal RNA", at positions 355 to 790 of the family's 1533-position model. The record is from RNAcentral.
UAGGGAAUCUUCCACAAUGGACGCAAGUCUGAUGGAGCAACGCCGCGUGAGUGAAGAAGGUUUUCGGACCGUAAAGCUCUGUUGUUGGUGAAGAAGGAUAGAGGUAGUAACUGGCCUUUAUUUGACGGUAAUCAACCAGAAAGUCACGGCUAACUACGUGCCAGCAGCCGCGGUAAUACGUAGGUGGCAAGCGUUGUCCGGAUUUAUUGGGCGUAAAGCGAGCGCAGGCGGAAGAAUAAGUCUGAUGUGAAAGCCCCCGGCUUAACCGAGGAAUUGCAUCGGAAACUGUUUUUCUUGAGUGCAGAAGAGGAGAGUAGAACUCCAUGUGUAGCGGUGGAAUGCGUAGAUAUAUGGAAGAAUACCAGUGGCGAAGGCGGCUCUCUGGUCUGCAACUGACGCUGAGGCUCGAAAGCAUGGGUAGCGAACAGGAUUAGAUACCCUGG